This 497-nucleotide ribosomal RNA is filed under the name uncultured bacterium. Its description in RNAcentral is "partial 16S ribosomal RNA". It matches the Rfam family "Bacterial small subunit ribosomal RNA", at positions 28 to 507 of the family's 1533-position model. The record is from RNAcentral.
GAUGAACGCUGGCGGCGUGCCUAAUACAUGCAAGUCGAGCGAACAGACGAGGAGCUUGCUCCUCUGACGUUAGCGGCGGACGGGUGAGUAACACGUGGAUAACCUACCUAUAAGACUGGGAUAACUUCGGGAAACCGGAGCUAAUACCGGAUAAUAUAUUGAACCGCAUGGUUCAAUAGUGAAAGACGGUUUUGCUGUCACUUAUAGAUGGUUCCGCGCCGCAUUAGCUAGUUGGUAAGGUAACGGCUUACCAAGGCAACGAUGCGUAGCCGACCUGAGAGGGUGAUCGGCCACACUGGAACUGAGACAGGGACCAGACUCCUACGGGAGGGAGCAGUAGGGAAUCUUACGCAAUGGGCGAAAGCCUGACGGAGCAACGCCGCGUGAGUGAUGAAGGUCUUCGGAUCGUAAAACUCUGUUAUUAGGGAAGAACAAAUGUGUAAGUAACUAUGCACGUCUUGACGGUACCGAAUCAGAAAGCCACGGCUAACUACGUG